Molecule: ribosomal RNA, 253 nt
Filed under: uncultured bacterium
Lineage: Bacteria
Description: partial 16S ribosomal RNA
Rfam family: Bacterial small subunit ribosomal RNA
Source: RNAcentral
UACGUAGGGGGCAAGCGUUGUCCGGAAUCAUUGGGCGUAAAGCGCGCGUAGGCGGCCCGGUAAGUCCGUUGUGAAAGUCAAAGGCUCAACCUUUGAAUGCCGAUGGAUACUGCCGGGCUAGAGUCCGGAAGAGGCGAGUGGAAUUCCUGGUGUAGCGGUGGAAUGCGCAGAUAUCAGGAGGAACACCGAUAGCGAAGGCAGCUCGCUGGGACGGUACUGACGCUGAGGCGCGAAAGCGUGGGGAGCGAACAGG